UACCAUGGGUUGCUGCUUAACUUUACCAUUAUAUAUGUAUAGUAAACGUCAUCAUUAAUUGCUUCACAUCACCAGAAAUCAAUCAAAAUUACCAUUUGUCUCUUUUCAGGGUACGUGGUUAGGUGAACAAUUUGAGUUAACAAAACAACCAUUCGUUAUGUACCAUAUGCAGGACGAAAAUAGUAGUUUUAACUCAAACAAUGUUUACUAAAACUUCCUGCUGCUUCAAUAUGACGAAUUAUCAUUGUCGUUGUAAACAUUUAGAUGCUAUUUGCGUUUUCAGUAGCCAUUUUGUUAAACUUCAUUAAAAACACUUGUUAAGAUAAUGGUGGAUUUGUGCAUUUUUUCGAAAAUAUAUAGGGAAAAAUAUUGCUGAUGUGGAUGCACCCGACAAACAGCCAUACAGAUACGGACCGAGAUGUCUCCGAUUCCAAUGUUGCAGUCGGGAAAUGAAAAAGACACUAUUUUUUCAAUUAUUAUUACCAAGAAUACUAGGUAGAGGCUAAAUAUUUAAUAAAGGCGGCCUUGGUGGACGCAGUAGAUUUCGCCAACGCGCAAGGCCAACGAGACAUAUUAAGCUGGUGAACAUGGACAGUUUUUCCUCCUCAUCGAUCGCUCGCGGAAAUCCCUACCUAAAUGCUGACGAACAAAGUUUCCUGGCCAUAAUCAGCACCGUAGGUUCAGUGUACGAUGACGGAAUUGAUUCACAGGACUCCUUUUCUGUGCUUGUUUCAACGAUCUCCAACAGUCCCGACGAGGAAGGCAUCCCAACUCAGUAGACCGCCAAAGAGCCAAAGUUCACACUCGAGCGGGCUAUCUACGAUAUCCGACUAUGCAGAACCUACGGCCUGUCGGUGAGAAAUCCGCAAUUGCAAGUUAAACUUCCCUGUCGGCCGUCAAUCCGGAUUAGCAAAAUAAAUUCUAAUUAAACAUAUAAAGUGAUAAAAUACGAAAAUAUCGUAUAUUAAUAAAUGUUUUUCGCAAAA
Aedes aegypti (yellow fever mosquito) is the source of this 986-nucleotide long non-coding RNA. RefSeq lists it as uncharacterized. The transcript is spliced from 2 exons. NCBI's taxonomy places the organism in Eukaryota, Metazoa, Arthropoda, Insecta, Diptera, Culicidae. The record is from RefSeq and is a predicted model, not a curated record.